This 253-nucleotide long non-coding RNA is filed under the name Cairina moschata (Muscovy duck). RNAcentral's name for it is "domestica (muscovy Duck (domestic type)) lncRNA (ENSCMMG00000003540.1)". The record is from RNAcentral. Lineage: Eukaryota; Metazoa; Chordata; Aves; Anseriformes; Anatidae.
UUGGCAACAAACAAAGAGAGAGCUAAAAUAACCUGGUGAUGACCUCCCAUAUUUUUAGAUCAAUGCAUUUCAGGAAGGAUAGUUUCUAGAACAGUGGAGCGGGUGCAUGUUGGCUUUAUUUCAGUAAUUUCAGUUUCAAAGAUCAAACUAUUGCCUUCUGUUUACAUCAUGGCACUCUGAGAAAAAAUAGGAAUUCCUACCAGCACUUUUACUUGUUUAAUUGAUGGAAUAAUAAAAAUCGUGUAGACCUUGG